UCCAGAGGGUGCGAGCGUUGUUCGGAAUUACUGGGCGUAAAGCGCGCGCAGGCGGCCCUUUAAGUCCGUCGGUCAAAUGCCGGGGCUCAACCCCGAUGCAUGCCGAGGAUACUGGAGGGCUGGAGACACGUAGAGGCAAGCGGAAUUCCGGGUGUAGCGGUGGAAUGCGUAGAGAUCCGGAAGAACACCGGAGGCGAAGGCGGCUUGCUGGGCGUGAUCUGACGCUGAGGCGCGAAAGCGUGGGGAGCGAACAGG
This 255-nucleotide ribosomal RNA is filed under the name uncultured bacterium. RNAcentral describes it as "partial 16S ribosomal RNA". It matches the Rfam family "Bacterial small subunit ribosomal RNA", at positions 524 to 776 of the family's 1533-position model. The record is from RNAcentral.